AGUUAAAGCCCAUACUGUGGUUGCUGGGUGUGGGAGUAGUUGGGAGUACAGAGUAAGGAUUAAAUACACAGGAUCGGCAUUUAAAAACAAAACUGCAGAUUUUGGUAAGGUGGCAGUUAUGGUAUAGGUUUUGGAUCUCCCCACAUCACCCCAUAAAAACAGAAUUUGGCUGGGAUAGCAAAACUAAAACUCCUGGAUGAGAUCCAUGCCAGAUCUAGGUGACAAGCCCCACAAACCCUGAGUACGAGCAGGUCGUCUGGUAGACCCAAGAACCCCCAAAUGAUGAUCAGGAAGUUGAAAUCGCAGUGAGCCAAUUCGGGAGCGGCCGCUGGAACUGGGGGUGGUUUGCACACCCCAGUGGGUGAGUGGGAGGGAUUUGUGGUGAGGCCUGCAGGGGCUGGAGCAGUCAAUGUCCCAGGAACUUCUAGGACAAAGUCCCUCGCUGAGGAGAAACUGCUGGGGACAGGAUCCCAAAGGAAGCGGUGCAGGUGCAGGAGACACAAAGGAAAGCAAAGGUCCAGUCAGAGGGAACAGAGCCAGGACUUUGAAGGAAGUGACUGACAGAUGCAGGCACGACUCUGUCCCUGCUGUUGGCAAACUCAAAAUAGAGCUGGGAGAGCAGAGAAUCUUCUGAGAGGGUCUGGCUUGAAUGGAGAGCACAUGGAAAGCACACGGUUUGGUCUGUGCCAGCGAUGCAGGGAAAAUGCCACAUC
Herpailurus yagouaroundi (jaguarundi) is the source of this 713-nucleotide long non-coding RNA. RefSeq lists it as uncharacterized. Lineage: Eukaryota; Metazoa; Chordata; Mammalia; Carnivora; Felidae. The transcript is spliced from 3 exons. The record is from RefSeq and is a predicted model, not a curated record.